AUUGAACGCUGGCGGCAGGCCUAACACAUGCCAGUCGAACGGUAACAGGAAACAGCUUGCUGUUUCGCUGACGAGUGGCGGACGGGUGAGUAAUGUCUGGGAAACUGCCUGAUGGAGGGGGAUAACUACUGGAAACGGUAGCUAAUACCGCAUAACGUCGCAAGACCAAAGAGGGGGACCCUCGGGCCUCUUGCCAUCGGAUGUGCCCAGAUGGGAUUAGCUUGUUGGUGGGGUAACGGCUCACCAAGGCGACGAUCCCUAGCUGGUCUGAGAGGAUGACCAGCCACACUGGAACUGAGACACGGUCCAGACUCCUACGGGAGGCAGCAGCGGGGAAUAUUGCACAAUGGGCGCAAGCCUGAUGCAGCCAUGCCGCGUGUAUGAAGAAGGCCUUCGGGUUGUAAAGUACUUUCAGCGGGGAGGAAGGGAGUAAAGUUAAUACCUUUGCUCAUUGACGUUACCCGCAGAAGAAGCACCGGCUAACUCCGUG
RNAcentral lists this ribosomal RNA (490 nucleotides) under uncultured bacterium. RNAcentral's name for it is "partial 16S ribosomal RNA". It matches the Rfam family "Bacterial small subunit ribosomal RNA", at positions 30 to 507 of the family's 1533-position model. The record is from RNAcentral.